Molecule: ribosomal RNA, 305 nt
Filed under: uncultured bacterium
Lineage: Bacteria
Description: bacterial SSU rRNA
Rfam family: Bacterial small subunit ribosomal RNA
Source: RNAcentral
CCUACGGGACGCAGCAGUGAGGAAUAUUGGUCAAUGGCCGAGAGGCUGAACCAGCCAAGUCGCGUGAGGGAUGACGGCCCUACGGGUUGUAAACCUCUUUUGUCGGGGAGCAAGACCCGCCUCGUGCAGGCGGAGCGAGAGUACCCGAAGAAAAAGCAUCGGCUAACUCCGUGCCAGCAGCCGCGGUAAUACGGAGGAUGCGAGCGUUAUCCGGAUUUAUUGGGUUUAAAGGGUGCGCAGGCGGAUUUUUAAGUCAGCGGUCAAAUCGUGGGGCUCAACCCCAUCCAGCCGUUGAAACUGGGGAU